RNAcentral lists this ribosomal RNA (580 nucleotides) under uncultured rumen bacterium. RNAcentral describes it as "bacterial SSU rRNA". It matches the Rfam family "Bacterial small subunit ribosomal RNA", at positions 146 to 712 of the family's 1533-position model. The record is from RNAcentral.
ACAUUUCGAAAGGAAUGCUAAUACCGAAUGAAGUGCAUUGGCCGCAUGGCUGAUGCACCAAAGGCCGGGCAACCGGUCACUGAAGGAUGGGCCUGCGUCUGAUUAGCUAGUUGGUGGGGUAACGGCCCACCAAGGCGACGAUCAGUAGCCGGUCUGAGAGGAUGAACGGCCACAUUGGGACUGAGACACGGCCCAAACUCCUACGGGAGGCAGCAGUGGGGAAUCUUCCGCAAUGGGCGAAAGCCUGACGGAGCAACGCCGCGUGAGUGAAGAAGGUUUUCGGAUCGUAAAGCUCUGUUGUCAGGGACGAGAGACUUGAUCAGGAAAUGGGUCAAGGAGGACGGUACCUGGCGAGAAAGCCACGGCUAACUACGUGCCAGCAGCCGCGGUAAUACGUAGGUGGCGAGCGUUGUCCGGAAUUAUUGGGCGUAAAGGGAGCGCAGGUGGGAAGGUAAGUCAGUCUUAAAAGUUCGGGGCUCAACCCCGUGAUGGGAUUGAAACUAUUUUUCUUGAGUGCAGGAGAGGAAAGCGGAAUUCCUAGUGUAGCGGUGAAAUGCGUAGAUAUUAGGAGGAACACCAG